RNAcentral lists this unclassified non-coding RNA (240 nucleotides) under soil metagenome. RNAcentral's name for it is "partial contains 5.8S ribosomal RNA, internal transcribed spacer 2, and large subunit ribosomal RNA". The record is from RNAcentral.
AACCAUUCUCACCUGCGGCUAGACCUGCGGAGGGAUCAUUAGUGAAUUGUUUUGUGGAUCCUCAUGCAAUCUAACAUGAGUUGACUCCCAAACCCCCCUCACUAUUCCACUCCGGCAAUGGGCUCUCACGAGCCCUGAGCCGAGGGUACUCCCAAUAUCUGCUUAGGAGUCUUUGGAUGGGUAACGUCUAAGACUCUGGAUUGACGGGAUGCCCGAAAAAAAAUGUUGGGUGCAUUUAAC